RNAcentral lists this ribosomal RNA (492 nucleotides) under uncultured bacterium. RNAcentral's name for it is "partial 16S ribosomal RNA". It matches the Rfam family "Bacterial small subunit ribosomal RNA", at positions 29 to 507 of the family's 1533-position model. The record is from RNAcentral.
AGUGAACGCUGGCGGUAGGCCUAACACAUGCAAGUCGAACGGCAGCACAGUAAGAGCUUGCUCUUACGGGUGGCGAGUGGCGGACGGGUGAGGAAUACAUCGGAAUCUACUUUUUCGUGGGGGAUAACGUAGGGAAACUUACGCUAAUACCGCAUACGACCUACGGGUGAAAGCAGGGGAUCUUCGGACCUUGCGCGAUUGAAUGAGCCGAUGUCGGAUUAGCUAGUUGGCGGGAUAAAGGCCCACCAAGGCGACGAUCCGUAGCUGGUCUGAGAGGAUGAUCAGCCACACUGGAACUGAGACACGGUCCAGACUCCUACGGGAGGCAGCAGUGGGGAAUAUUGGACAAUGGGCGCAAGCCUGAUCCAGCCAUACUGCGUGGGUGAAGAAGGCCUUCGGGUUGUAAAGCCCUUUUGUUGGGAAAGAAAAGCAGCAGGUUAAUACCCCGCUGUUCUGACGGUACCCAAAGAAUAAGCACCGGCUAACUUCGUG